GACGGAGGGAGCAAGCGUUGUCCGGAUUUACUGGGCGUAAAGCGCGCGUAGGCGGCCCGUUAAGUCGGCUGUGAAAUCGCUGGGCCCAACCCAGCAAUUGCAGUCGAUACUGGCAGGCUUGAGUUCGGGAGAGGGAAGUGGAAUUCCUGGUGUAGCGGUGGAAUGCGCAGAUAUCAGGAAGAACACCGGUGGCGAAGGCGGCUUCCUGGACCGAUACUGACGCUGAGGUGCGAAAGCUAGGGGAGCGAACGGG
Molecule: ribosomal RNA, 253 nt
Filed under: uncultured bacterium
Lineage: Bacteria
Description: partial 16S ribosomal RNA
Rfam family: Bacterial small subunit ribosomal RNA
Source: RNAcentral